AAGUCGUAACAAGGUUUCCGUAGGUGAACCUGCGGAAGGAUCAUUAAAAAGGAUACCCAACACACACAGUGCACCAAAACAAUACAAUAUAAUUAAUAUACAAUUAAUUAAUUUAAAUUAUACAACUUUUAGCAACGGAUCUCUAGGUUCUC
This 152-nucleotide unclassified non-coding RNA is filed under the name fungal sp. RNAcentral describes it as "partial internal transcribed spacer region". The stretch from base 1 to 46 matches the Rfam family "Eukaryotic small subunit ribosomal RNA", at positions 1786 to 1831 of the family's 1831-position model. Lineage: Eukaryota; Fungi. The record is from RNAcentral.